RNAcentral lists this long non-coding RNA (1516 nucleotides) under Anser brachyrhynchus (Pink-footed goose). RNAcentral describes it as "lncRNA (ENSABRG00000004445.1)". The record is from RNAcentral. Lineage: Eukaryota; Metazoa; Chordata; Aves; Anseriformes; Anatidae.
UUUGUUCAGUCCAGAGAAGGUGAGGCCUCAUUGUGGCCUGCAGCUCCCUCAUGAGGGCAGCGGAGGGGCAGGUGCUGAGCUCUGCUCUCUGGGGACAGCAUAUAUUUAUAUAUACAUAUAUAUGCAAAUGAAUAGCACAAUAAUAGCAGAAAACCAUAGAAGAACAGCCGUAAAUCAAAGGCACUUUCUUCAGCAGCCCCAUGACGUGGUCCCUUUUCCUCCCCACCUUGCUAACCCCGGCAUGGAGUGGGAAUGGCUGUCACUUCCUGCCACACAAACAGAUUCACAGGCUUAAUUAACACUGGAAAGUUUGUUCAGCUAAUUACGAAUGCAGCACAAAUGGCUCACACCCACACCCUCCCACCGUCUUUUCCACCAGCUGGACACUCCAUUCCAGCUGAAGCUGCCUUUGAAGCUGACACAAAUCUGACAUCCAGCAGAAUGCAUAUAAGCACCAGGGGGAUAUUUGCUAGCCUCAAGACACUGCUGUUGUCCUGAUGCCUAUUCAGACCCUAGCAGAAGUUCAGCACAGCAGGAGUCACCAAACACCAAGUGAGCAAAGUCCAUAAACAGUUGCACAGCAUGGGAAACCCUUACUGAAAAGUUAAGAGAAGAGCUGUGAACAUCUGGCAUCACAGGCAGCACUAUGAAUGCUCUGUAUUUGUAUUGCAUAUAUGCACAGCAGUGAUUGCUUAACAGAUUGCUCCACAGCCUCCUGCCAAGUAAACACCCAGCAGCAGUAAAGGACUUCUGUUGGAGCUUUCCAGGAUAACAGUCCCUAUGCAAUGGAGCAUUGCUGUGGCAGCUUUUCAUCCAGUGACCCCCUCUCCUGCAUAGUGGAGGAGCCUACUCUACUCUUCAGGUAAGGUACCUCUGGAGCCUGCACUGGGAACAGAGGACCUCUAGAGCGGAUGCAAACAACUGUUCCCAUCCCAAGGCUUUUUCUCUCACCGCUGAAACAGGAGAGAGCAGUGUUACAGCUGCCUGGUCCCCUUCCCACUUCCCAGUCCCUGGUGACAUGUGCGGUGCUCUCAACUCAUACUCAGCAGCACCAUAGUGGAACACCACCACAUAGCUGUCCUUCAGUGACCUAGACUAAAAAAACACCUACUCAUGCUGGGCAUUCGACCCAGCCACCUACCAGCCACCUCCCGUGAGUGCCACAGUUCUGCCUGCAGAGGAAAUUAUGCAAACAAUCUGAGAGAGAAAACAAAAUGAUCUAUAUAUAUAUAUAUGCAUAUAUAUGUAAUAUUCUUUUAAUUAUAACAACUACUUUGUUAAAUAGCCUGAAUCUGAAAUGUGGGAAUCGGCAGGUGUUGUGGCUUUUUUUUUUUUUUUAUCUUUUUUUAUGUAUCUAUGUGUUUAAAACAUCAACUGAAAGCUGAAAUGUCUCACGCACUUUGGUAGGAGCUGAACUUUGUAUUUGACAUAUCGUAUACAUUUUCCACUGUUUACCAACCCUGGACUUGGUUUGUCUGUAAAUAAAUCGAUCAGUAAUGAAUUGUUAUUUUUUUCC